Acanthosepion pharaonis is the source of this 105-nucleotide non-coding RNA. NCBI's taxonomy places the organism in Eukaryota, Metazoa, Mollusca, Cephalopoda, Sepiida, Sepiidae. The record is from the annotation of a GenBank genome assembly.
AUAUCACGUUUAAAUACCGGUUCCAGUAAGAACACCGAAGUUAAGCAUCAUCGAGCCUGGUCAGUACCUAGAUAGGUGACCGUUUGAGAACACUAGGUGCUGUAU